Molecule: ribosomal RNA, 83 nt
Organism: Phormidium ambiguum
Lineage: Bacteria; Bacillati; Cyanobacteriota; Cyanophyceae; Oscillatoriales; Oscillatoriaceae
Rfam family: Bacterial large subunit ribosomal RNA
Source: Rfam
GGGAGUGCAAAGAACCUGGGAGGUUGGCUUGAAGGUAGCCAUCCUUUAAAGAGUGUGUAAUAACUCACCAGCGGAGUCCCCCU